This 294-nucleotide unclassified non-coding RNA is filed under the name fungal sp. RNAcentral describes it as "partial internal transcribed spacer region". The stretch from base 1 to 46 matches the Rfam family "Eukaryotic small subunit ribosomal RNA", at positions 1786 to 1831 of the family's 1831-position model. Lineage: Eukaryota; Fungi. The record is from RNAcentral.
AAGUCGUAACAAGGUUUCCGUAGGUGAACCUGCGGAAGGAUCAUUAAUAAAAUGAUGUUUUUUGGGGUUUUUUAACCUCAAAAAAUAAUUCACCUUUUGUGCACUGUUAUAAGAUAUACUUUGGUCAGAGCUUUGAUUUCAUUUUUUUGAAAUCAACUUCUCGCUAACUCUAUCCUUUCUGAGGACAGUUGGCUAUGAAGCGGCCUACCAAGGUUUUUUUAAACUCUUGUAUUUUGUCUGACCUAAAAACAAAUAAUUAAAUCAUAACUUUCAACAACGGAUCUCUUGGCUCUC